ACAUGGCUCAGGACGAACGCUGGCGGCGUGCCUAAUACAUGCAAGUCGAGCGGACAGAUGGGAGCUUGCUCCCUGAUGUUAGCGGCGGACGGGUGAGUAACACGUGGGUAACCUGCCUGUAAGACUGGGAUAACUCCGGGAAACCGGGGCUAAUACCGGAUGCUUGUUUGAACCGCAUGGUUCAAAUAUAAAAGGUGGCUUUUAGCUACCACUUACAGAUGGACCCGCGGCGCAUUAGCUAGUUGGUGAGGUAACGGCUCACCAAGGCAACGAUGCGUAGCCGACCUGAGAGGGUGAUCGGCCACACUGGGACUGAGACACGGCCCAGACUCCUACGGGAGGCAGCAGUAGGGAAUCUUCCGCAAUGGACGAAAGUCUGACGGAGCAACGCCGCGUGAGUGAUGAAGGUUUUCGGAUCGUAAAACUCUGUUGUUAGGGAAGAACAAGUACCGUUCGAAUAGGGCGGUACCUUGACGGUACCUGACCAGAAAGCCACGGCUAACUACGUGCCAGCAGCCGCGGUAAUACGUAGGUGGCAAGCGUUGUCCGGAAUUAUUGGGCGUAAAGCGCGCGCAGGCGGUUUCUUAAGUCUGAUGUGAAAGCCCCCGGCUCAACCGGGGAGGGUCAUUGGAAACUGGGGAACUUGAGUGCAGAAGAGGAGAGUGGAAUUCCACGUGUAGCGGUGAAAUGCGUAGAGAUGUGGAGGAACACCAGUGGCGAAGGCGACUCUCUGGUCUGUAACUGACGCUGA
Molecule: ribosomal RNA, 751 nt
Filed under: Bacillus sp. THJ-C123
Lineage: Bacteria; Bacillati; Bacillota; Bacilli; Caryophanales; Bacillaceae
Description: bacterial SSU rRNA
Rfam family: Bacterial small subunit ribosomal RNA
Source: RNAcentral